Molecule: ribosomal RNA, 256 nt
Filed under: uncultured bacterium
Lineage: Bacteria
Description: partial 16S ribosomal RNA
Rfam family: Bacterial small subunit ribosomal RNA
Source: RNAcentral
GCAAGUCGAGCGGAAACGAGAAGUAGCUUGCUACUUCGGCGUCGAGCGGCGGACGGGUGAGUAACGCGUAGGAAUCUACCUAGUAGUGGGGGAUAGCCAUUGGAAACGAUGAUUAAUACCGCAUACGCCCCACGGGGGAAAGGAGGGGACUCAUUUAUGAGCCUUUCGCUAUUAGAUGAGCCUGCGUAAGAUUAGCUAGAUGGUGGGGUAAAGGCCUACCAUGGCGACGAUCUUUAGCUGGUUUGAGAGGAUGAUC